CAGACAGACAGACAGACAGACAGACACACAGGCAGGCAGACAGACAGACAAACACCCAGGCAAACAGACAAACAGACAGACAGACAGACUGGUGAUCCUCAGCAGUACAGUAGCUGUAUGAGUAUUUAAUGUAGCCGUAGCUCACAGUGCACUGUGAUAUCUCUCUUAGCAGUGAUAAAUGUGCCAAUUAUCGAAGCAUUUACUGAUUUAGUCAAUUGCUAUAUGUAUAUUGUGCAUAGUACUUUGUAAAAUAAUAAUAUCAACUGUUAUUAUUAUAACUAUUAUUAUUACAAAACAAUUCAAACUCUCAGUAUUAUGGCACAUAGGUGGCGUAGUUUCACUGUUAAGAAACCAAUCAAAGCUUUUAUUAUUUAGGCAAUUCAGUAAGCUGGAAUACUGCUGUAUAUGGUUGCCUUUGAGUUAGAACUCUGUUCAGAUUGUUGAAGGCCGGUGCAGACUUGCAAACCGGCCUGCACACAGUCUCAUCCACUGCACUCGCAGCCACAGCGCUCUGCUGAGCAAACACAUUCAUCUGAAAGCCCGCCCUUCAGUACUGGCUGCUUGUCUGCCAUCAUUUUAUUUUCGUAACUAUUUUUUUAGAGUCCAAUAAACAAUAUGAAAUGCUCUAUAUGUCGUACCGCAACCUUGUAGGAUUCUUCAAGUCCGUUCUGCCGGAGGAGGAGGAGGUUUUUAGUGUUUUUUCAUGGAAACUGAAGGAGUCUGUGCAAACUGUGUAGCAGGGAAACAGCAACAUGACUGUUUAAGUGUCCCCAUGUGAAAGCUCUCAGCUGGCUGAGUGUGCCUGGUCCAUCUUUGGUUUCAUUGUGCGUCUCUUGAGCAGCAAAGCGUGUCGUGCAGCGCUGUUCACUCCCUCGAUCUGACUUUUCCUCGGAGCCACACGGACGCCACAGUACAGAAAUCAAUAAUUAUCAUUCUGUGAAGGUGAUAGCACUCUUAUGCUUCACUCACCACAAAUGGCAGUUUUAUAUCAAUCAUUUUUUCUGACAUAUUAUGGGAUGGCUGGUUGUAGCUCCCAGCCGUCCUGUGCACAGUAUCUGUGGUGUGUGUGCAAAGCGGAGGCAAGGGGGGGCUGGUAUACUGGAGCAUAUUUUCUGUUGAAAGUGAUAGAAAGACACAGCACUUGUUCUUCUUAGUUAAUAUCAACGGCAGAAGUAAGUCUGUAACUGCUUAAAGACUAUGAGAUGGAUUUUUUUUUUUCAACUUGUGUGCAAUUCACUUUUUUUUUUUUUUGUCUAAGAGCGAUUUCAAUCUUUUGAUUGAUCCUUUUUUGUUAGUGUUGUCUUUUUUCCCCAAAACAUUUUUGUCAUUUCUCCCUCAAUGUUUCAAUGAAGUGCGAGUAUCCACGUGGAUUUGGAAGGACUGGAUCUUCCACACUGAUAAAGAAUGUCAAAGAAAAUAAUUGCAUGUAACAAUGUAUUUCGAGGCUAUUUUCUAACUAUUGUGUAUUCCCAAACUAUAUCAGUGUUACAGUUGACAGUUGUUAAACAUGAAUGGUAGAAUAGUUUUGACUUCUUCAAUUACAGCCAACGGAAGUCAACUAUGUAAUUGUGUCACUCCAGAGGAUAACCAAACCUGUAUCGUUUUCCCGAUCCACAUACAGUAGCUUGCUGGAUCUUUAGUGUACAACAGUAGUUCAAGCUGGGUGUUAUCACAGCUGUGAGGGGAAAGGUAGAGCAGGCAUGACGAAAGAUGUACUCUGUCAUCUGGAAAUUAGAGUGAAAAUGGACAGACAGCUAUGAGUAUAAUGAAUGGAACUCUUUUAUCUUCA
Long non-coding RNA from Sander lucioperca (pikeperch), 1789 nucleotides. RefSeq lists it as uncharacterized. NCBI's taxonomy places the organism in Eukaryota, Metazoa, Chordata, Actinopteri, Perciformes, Percidae. The transcript has 2 exons. The record is from RefSeq and is a predicted model, not a curated record.